AUUGAACGCUGGCGGAAUGCUUUACACAUGCAAGUCGAACGGCAGCACGGACUUCGGUCUGGUGGCGAGUGGCGAACGGGUGAGUAAUGUAUCGGAACGUGCCCAGUCGUGGGGGAUAACGUAGUGAAAAUUACGCUAAUACCGCAUACGAUCUAUGGAUGAAAGCGGGGGAUCGCAAGACCUCGCGCGAUUGGAGCGGCCGAUAUCAGAUUAGGUAGUUGGUGGGGUAAAGGCGCACCAAGCCAACGAUCUGUAGCUGGUCUGAGAGGACGACCAGCCACACUGGAACUGAGACACGGUCCAGACUCCUACGGGAGGAAGCAGUGGGGAAUUUUGGACAAUGGGCGAAAGCCUGAUCCAGCCAUUCCGCGUGCAGGAUGAAGGCCCUCGGGUUGUAAACUGCUUUUGUACAGAACGAAAAGGUUUCUACUAAUACUAGAAGCUCAUGACGGUACUGUAAGAAUAAGCACCGGCUAACUACGUGCCAGCAGCCGCCGCCG
This 500-nucleotide ribosomal RNA is filed under the name uncultured bacterium. Its description in RNAcentral is "partial 16S ribosomal RNA". It matches the Rfam family "Bacterial small subunit ribosomal RNA", at positions 30 to 523 of the family's 1533-position model. The record is from RNAcentral.